RNAcentral lists this small RNA (64 nucleotides) under Crocosphaera chwakensis CCY0110. RNAcentral describes it as "Cyanothece sp. CCY0110 Cyano-1 RNA". It matches the Rfam family "Cyano-1 RNA". The record is from Rfam by way of RNAcentral. Lineage: Bacteria; Bacillati; Cyanobacteriota; Cyanophyceae; Chroococcales; Aphanothecaceae.
GAGAGAGUAAUGUAAGAAAGCACUUGGGGUCGAAACACGGCAAGACUCCCAGGUGUUUUCUAUU